AUGACUAUUGUCAAUGGCGAGUUACACCGUUGCAGUGUCUCAGGGGCGUUUCAGCGUUGUGUUUCCCCUGAAGAAGGCUGUGAGAUCUUGCGUGAAAUCCACGAAGGAGAUUGUGGUCAUCAUGCCGGUUCAAAAUCCUUGGUGGCUAAGGCUUUUCGGCACGGUUUUUAUUGGUUAACGGCCCAUGCUGAUGCGGAGGAUCUGGUCAGAAAGUGUGAUGGAUGUCAGAAGUUUGCACGUCGAGCUCAUGUUCCGGCUCAGGAAUUGAGGAUGAUUCCAAUCACCUGGCCGUUUGCAACUUGGGGGUUGGAUAUGGUUGGGACUUUUAAGAGGUCUAAGGAUAAGUAG
This 348-nucleotide ribosomal RNA is filed under the name Triticum aestivum (bread wheat). RNAcentral describes it as "partial small subunit ribosomal RNA". The record is from RNAcentral. Lineage: Eukaryota; Viridiplantae; Streptophyta; Magnoliopsida; Poales; Poaceae.